CCCAGGCAGAGAUGCAGUUUGCUCCCUGUGAGGAAGAAGUGCAGCAACAGCAGAGUGACCUCUCAGGGUAUACAGUGGAUCAAGACAUUCUGAAAUAUGAGGGCUACUCUGACCACUAUAUCAUGACAAGCUGAAGGUGAUGAGUUCCAGAGACAGGCAGGAGAAGACAACCUUUCUUUUGCAACACAACUUGGAUUGAUGAAAGAUUGACAACAAUUUUCUGAGGACCAGAUGUUUUGGAGGCUCUCACGGGAAUACAGUUUUCAUCUCAACAUAAUGAGCAACAGUAGUUUCCAGGAUCCAGCUCAGCUCCAGUGAAACAAAUGAAUCUUUCCACUGGCAUAGAGAGAAAAAAGAGCAAGGUCUGAAGGCCCUCUAUUUCAGCCAGACAAACAGCAUCACCUCGAUAGCACUGAGCCCAGCCUUCCAGGAGGAGCAGAGCAUGGGAAAUCAGGGACAACCUGAUCACAUCCACCCAUGUUUCAGUUUGCUUCCAGGUUGCUUGCAGUGUCUGCAGUCACCAGCAUUUGCUUGAAUUUCAUCUCUUCCCUUCUACCCAAGAAAUCACUCUCGCUGAUGACAGAAAUAACCAUUUCCAUAGCUGAUAUUGCCACAUAUUCAUAAUAUUCUGACCCAAGACAAGAUUUCCAUCUGAGCAAGCUGGGAAAUACAUCCUCAUCAAGCUACAAACUCUCCUCCAGACAACUA
This is a long non-coding RNA of Lagopus leucura (white-tailed ptarmigan), 708 nucleotides long. RefSeq lists it as uncharacterized. NCBI's taxonomy places the organism in Eukaryota, Metazoa, Chordata, Aves, Galliformes, Phasianidae. The transcript has 3 exons. The record is from RefSeq and is a predicted model, not a curated record.